GAAGACAUGAAGGUAGGGCAGSAAACCCGCUGAAUUUAAGCAUAUAAGUAAGCGGAGGAAAAGAAMCUAAMUAGGMUUCCCUCAGUAAUSGCGAAUGAACRGGGAUGAGCYCRGUAUGRAAAUUGGGGCCUSUGGCCKUGAAUUGUAGYCUGGAGMUGUACCWCCAACUGGGGSGCAGAUGUAAGCCUCUUGGAAAAGAGCAUCAAUGAGGGUGAGAGUCCSGCUUGGCAUCWGCAGUCCCCAGUGCACGGUGURCCUUCUAACAGUCACGUUCCUCGGGAUUGGAGCGCAAAUCGGSUGGUAAGUKUCAUCUAAAGCUAAAUAYUGUUUCGAGACCGAUAGCAAACAAGUACCAUGAGGGAAAGGUGAAAAGGACUUUGGAAAGAGAGUUAAAAGUGCCUGAAAUUGCUGAAAGGGAAGCGAAUGGAWCCAGCGUAACUUGGCGAGAUUGCUGCGUGUCAAUGUGAUUGCUUGCUGCUUCAACGUGAGUGUGGUAGUAAGUCUUGMWCAAGACAUGCRCGGUGCUUCUUGCCUUGUUUGUCACCGUCAGUUCGCAGCUGGGGAAAACUUCAAGGACAUGGUAGCCUGUCUCCGGGCGGGUGAACGUGUUUGCUKGAACUCACUUGUGGAUUGCUUGGUGACUAAAUG
RNAcentral lists this ribosomal RNA (648 nucleotides) under Scrippsiella sp. MG-2014. RNAcentral describes it as "partial large subunit ribosomal RNA". It matches the Rfam family "Eukaryotic large subunit ribosomal RNA", at positions 1 to 634 of the family's 3401-position model. The record is from RNAcentral. Lineage: Eukaryota; Dinophyceae; Peridiniales; Peridiniaceae.